GACGAACGCUGGCGGCGUGCUUAACACAUGCAAGUCGAACGGUGAAGCGCCUUCCUUUUUGGUGGGUGUGGAUGAGUGGCGAACGGGUGAGUAACACGUGAGUAACCUGCCCCCUCCUUCUGGAUAACCGCAUGAAAGUGUGGCUAAUACGGGAUAUUCUGGGUCUGUCGCAUGAUGGGUCUGGGAAAGAUAUUGUUUCGGUGGGGGAUGGGCUCGCGGCCUAUCAGCUGGUUGGUGGGGUGAUGGCCUACCAAGGCGGGGGCGGGUAGCCGGCCUGAGAGGGUGGACGGUCUCACUGGGUCUGAGACACGGCCCAGACUCCUACGGGAGGCAGCAGUGGGGAAUAUGGCACAGUGGGCGCAAGCCUGAUGCAGCGACGCCGCGUGAGGGAUGGAGGCCUGCGGGUUGUGAACGUCUUUCGCCAGUGAAGCAGGCCUGCCUCGUUUGUGGGUGGGUUGACGGUAGCUGGAUAAGAAGCGCCGGCUAACUACGUG
This 494-nucleotide ribosomal RNA is filed under the name uncultured bacterium. RNAcentral's name for it is "partial 16S ribosomal RNA". It matches the Rfam family "Bacterial small subunit ribosomal RNA", at positions 28 to 507 of the family's 1533-position model. The record is from RNAcentral.